RNAcentral lists this transfer RNA (77 nucleotides) under Legionellales bacterium. Its description in RNAcentral is "tRNA-Pro". It matches the Rfam family "tRNA". From Rfam's summary of the family: Transfer RNA (tRNA) molecules are approximately 80 nucleotides in length. Their secondary structure includes four short double-helical elements and three loops (D, anti-codon, and T loops). Further hydrogen bonds mediate the characteristic L-shaped molecular structure. tRNAs have two regions of fundamental functional importance: the anti-codon, which is responsible for specific mRNA codon recognition, and the 3' end, to which the tRNAs corresponding amino acid is attached (by aminoacyl-tRNA synthetases). tRNAs cope with the degeneracy of the genetic code in two manners: having more than one tRNA (with a specific anti-codon) for a particular amino acid; and 'wobble' base-pairing, i.e. permitting non-standard base-pairing at the 3rd anti-codon position. Lineage: Bacteria; Pseudomonadati; Pseudomonadota; Gammaproteobacteria; Legionellales. The record is from RNAcentral.
CGGGGCGUGGCGCAGUCUGGUAGCGUACUUGCAUGGGGCGCAAGAGGUCGCUGGUUCAAAUCCAGUCGUCCCGACCA